UGCUUGUCUCAAGGACUAAGCCAUGCAAGUGUAAGUAUGAGUGAAUUGUACAACGAAACUGCGAAUGGCUCGGUAAAACAGCUAUAGUUUCUUCGGUGGUAAAUACUACUUGGAUACCCGUAGUAAUUCUAGAGCUAAUACAUGCCACAAAAGCGGUGCUGCACCGUGGUAUAAGUUAGAGAUACAAACCAAUGUUUGGUGAUUCAUAAUUUCUGUUCUGAUUGCCACACCGUUCAAAUUUCUGACCUAUCAACUUUGGAUGGUAAGGUAUUGUCUUACCAUGGUUGUGACGGGUAACGGACCGUGGGUGCGGGACUCCGGAGAGGGAGCCUGAGAAACGGCUACCACAUCCAAGGAAGGCAGCAGGCGCGUAAAUUACCCAAUCCGGACACCGGGAGGUAGUGACAAGAAAUAGCAAUAGAGGGCCCAACGGGUUUUCUAAUUGGAAUGAGAACAAGGUAAACAGCUUAUCGAGGAGCCAGCAGAGGGCAAGUCUGGUGCCAGCAGCCGCGGUAAUUCCAGCUCUGUAAGCGUAUACCAAAGUUGUUGCAGUUAAAACGCUCGUAGUCGGAAGUUGGCGGGCGACCAGGGGCGUCUUCACGGACGUGUUUUGGUUGGCCGCCUUUGUGGAUGGUGCUUCACUGCGUCACUGUGGUCGCUGCCACCGUUUACUGUGAAAAAAUUAGAGUGUUCAAAGCGGGCGUUUGCCAUGAAUACAUUAGCAUGGAAUAAUAGAAUAGGACCUGUUUCCUGUUUUGUUGGUUUGUGAGGAUCGGGUAAUGAUUAAGAGGGACGGUUGGGGGGCAUUUGUAUUCCGGCGUCAGAGGUGAGAUUCUUUAAGGACNNNNNNNNNNNNNNNNNNNNNNNNNNNNNNNNNNNNNGUUUUCAUUGAUCAAGAACGAAAGUAAGGGGAUCGAAGACGAUCAGAUACCGUCGUAGUCUUUACUAUAAACGAUGAGGACUGGGGAUCGGGCAGGACUGACUUUUGGCCUGCCCGGCACCCUUCGGGAAACCAAAGUGUUUGCUUUCUGGGGGGAGUAUGGUCGCAAGGCUGAAACUUAAAGGAAUUGACGGAAGGGCAUCACCGGGUGUGGAGCCUGCGGCUUAAUUUGACUCAACACGGGGAAACUUACCAGGUCCGGACAUAGUGAGGAUUGACAGAUUGAGAGCUCUUUCUUGAUUCUAUGGUUGGUGGUGCAUGGCCGUUCUUAGUUGGUGGAGUGAUCUGUCUGGUUAAUUCCGUUAACGAGCGAGACCUGGGCGUGCUAGCUAGGCGCCGUUACCAUAGCGAGGCUUGCCUUCCUAGACGGACUGCGGGCGUCUAGUCCGCGGAAGCUCCAGGCAAUAACAGGUCUGAGAUGCCCUUAGAUGUUCUGGGCCGCACGCGUGCUACACUGAGCGGGUCAACGGGUGAGGAUGUGCGAGAGCACUUCCCAAUCUCUAAAUCCGCUCGUGCUGGGGAUCGAGGCUUGCAAUUUUCCCUCUUGAACGAGGAAUACCUUGUAAGCAUGGGUCAUCAUCCCGUGCUGAAUACGUCCCUGCCCUUUGUACACACCGCCCGUCGCUCCUACCGAUUGAGUGGUCCGGUGAGGCCUUGGGAGGGAAAGACGGACUGUGCACGGACCGUCUGGCCUGAACUUGGUCAAACCUUAUCACUUAGAGGAAGGAUAAGUCAUAACAA
RNAcentral lists this ribosomal RNA (1681 nucleotides) under Calliblepharis saidana. Its description in RNAcentral is "partial small subunit ribosomal RNA". It matches the Rfam family "Eukaryotic small subunit ribosomal RNA". Lineage: Eukaryota; Rhodophyta; Florideophyceae; Gigartinales; Cystocloniaceae. The record is from RNAcentral.